UUGGAGUUUGGUUAGGAUUUGAUUUAGGGUUUAGGGUUUGGUUGGGGUUUGGUUUAGGAUUUAGGAUUUGGUUAGGAUUUGGUUUAGAAUUUGAUUGGGAUUUGGUUUAGGAUUUAGGAUUUGGUUGGGAUUUGGUUUAGGAUUUAUUUAGGAUUUGAUUUAGGGUUUAAGAUUUGGUUAAGGUUUGGUUUAGGAUUUAAAGUUUGGUUAGGAUUUUAUUUAGAGUUUGGUUAGGAUUUGAUUUAGGGUCUAGUUGGGAUUUGGUUUAGAGUUUAGGAUUUGAUUUAAUGUUUAGGAUUUGAUUUAAUGUGUAGAGUUUGGUUUAGGAUUUAGAAUUUGAUUUAGGGUUUAAGGUUUAAUUAGGAUUUGAUUUAGGAUUUAGGAUUUGAUUUAGGAUUUAGGAUUUUAUUAGGAUUUAUUUAGGAUUUAAGGUUUAAUUAAUUUUGGCCUAAAGUUUGAAUGAAGUCUAAUAGGAUUUUAACUAGGAUUAAAUUAAGAUUGAAUUGAGAUGUAUUUGAGAUAUAUUUGUGAUCAUUCUAAUAUUUCUUUAAGAUUUCUUAUUGUUUCUUUGAAUUUUCUUUGAGGUUUCUUUGAAUUUGAUUAAAGCUUACUUAGCAUUAUUAUGGUCUAAUUAGAGAUUAGUCAGCAUCCUAUUAGAGUUAGGAUUUUUUUGUUACAAUUUUCAUUCUAUCUUCCACAGUGAGGUGCCCAGAGCAUUCUCAAGCAAGACUUCACGUAUUACGACAAUGUGCAAAGUAAUUAUGCUUUGUCCUUCUGAGCUUGUAUGAUUCAUUUGCCAUAGGUUGAAGGUCUCUACCAAAAUCUUGUUGGAGGACCAUUCCAAUAGCAAAGUU
RNAcentral lists this long non-coding RNA (854 nucleotides) under Physcomitrium patens. RNAcentral's name for it is "long non-coding RNA (PPAT_LNC009594)". Lineage: Eukaryota; Viridiplantae; Streptophyta; Bryopsida; Funariales; Funariaceae. The record is from RNAcentral.